This is a non-coding RNA of Gossypium raimondii (Peruvian cotton), 128 nucleotides long. The record is from Rfam. Lineage: Eukaryota; Viridiplantae; Streptophyta; Magnoliopsida; Malvales; Malvaceae.
UGUUAAAAGUUUCAUCCAUUUGUAUUGUUAAAAAUUAGCAUGGUUAACAGAGUAAUUAGACAGUGACACGCAUGUGUUGACAUAUAGAGACCGGUUUUUAACAACAAAAAUGGAUGAAAUUUUUAUCA